This 695-nucleotide ribosomal RNA is filed under the name Triticum aestivum (bread wheat). Its description in RNAcentral is "partial small subunit ribosomal RNA". Lineage: Eukaryota; Viridiplantae; Streptophyta; Magnoliopsida; Poales; Poaceae. The record is from RNAcentral.
AGCAAAUUUGGUUUCGCUCCAGAUUACAAACCACCAGUACAGACACUUGAAUGAAACUUGACGAGAUAUAAACGUUUUCUGGCCCUCGUACUGAUCUUUUAAUAACCUUUACACGAUAGACACUACCAAACCCUCACAUUAUAUCAAAAGUGCGUUUACAAUAACUAACCUACCACGAACCUUUAAUAACCUUUACACGAUAGACACUACCAAACCGUCACUAUACCAAAAGUACGUUUACAAUGACUAACCUACCACGAACCUUUAAUAACCUUUACGUGUUAGACACUAAGAUUAGGAAUCCUUAAAAAGGAAUACACCAAAUAAACUAAGUAACCUAAGGUUUGGUACACCAAAAAGAAAAGAAAUCCUAGGUAAACGUGAUUUAAAGUACCCUUUUUUUAAGUAGAUGAGGUUAGAGAAACUUUCUUAGUAUGUAAGAAGGAUACGUGUUAGUUUGUAGGACUGUACUAGGACAAGGAUGUAAAAAGAAUAGGGUUACAAAACCUUUAGUACCCUUAGUUUCUCCGGGCUCCAGACUCGAUUAAAAAAAAAUUAAGGAAACUUUACACUUCCUAUCCUUGGUUAAAACGUAACCUUAUGUUUAAGUAAGGACGUCUGGUUUCCCGAGAUUCCCCUAUAAAAGACAUCCUUGGCAAUAGGAUGUUUUAAGGAUGUUUGAACUACAUUUGGUU